AAAUAAAAAGGAACAAAAUGCAUACGCUAGGGGUUGAACCCUUGACCUUGGGGUCAUGGGGGAUCAACCCAUCCCCCACUGGGCUAAGCGCUCACUUGUUAUCAUAAGUGCAUUAAUCAAAUAAAAUAUUAAGUCAAACAUUAAAAUAACAUGCGCGCUAAAGUGAACCAAUUAGGACAAGACAUGACAAAUGUUUGAAUUUGAAUUCAUGCGAAGAACAUCAUCUUCAACCUUCAACCAUCCAAAAUCAAAACCUACAAACACGUGUUUUUCACUGAAUUUGA
RNAcentral lists this long non-coding RNA (284 nucleotides) under Lathyrus oleraceus (garden pea). RNAcentral describes it as "Pisum sativum (pea) long non-coding RNA (PSAT_LNC024170)". The record is from RNAcentral. Lineage: Eukaryota; Viridiplantae; Streptophyta; Magnoliopsida; Fabales; Fabaceae.